GAUGAACGCUGGCGGCGUGCCUAAUACAUGCAAGUCGAGCGAACAGACGAGGAGCUUGCCCUCCUGCCGUUGCCGCCGGACGGGUAAUUACCAGGGGGAUACCUUACCUUUAGGACUGGGAUACCUUGGGGAACCCGAAGCAAAUACCGGAUAUUAUAUUGACCGGCAGGGUUCAUUGUGCAAAACGGUUUUUGUUGCACCUAAUACAGGAUCCCGCGUCGCAUUAGCUAGUUGGUAAGGUAACGGCUUACCAAGGCAACGAUGCGUAGCCGACCUGAGAGGGUGAUCGGCCACACUGGAACUGAGACACGGUCCAGACUCCUACGGGAGGCAGCAGUAGGGAAUCUUCCGCAAUGGGCGAAAGCCUGACGGAGCAACGCCGCGUGAGUGAUGAAGGUCUUCGGAUCGUAAAACUCUGUUAUUAGGGAAGAACAAAUGUGUAAGUAACUAUGCACGUCUUGACGGUACCUAAUCAGAAAGCCACGGCUAACUACGUG
RNAcentral lists this ribosomal RNA (497 nucleotides) under uncultured bacterium. RNAcentral's name for it is "partial 16S ribosomal RNA". It matches the Rfam family "Bacterial small subunit ribosomal RNA", at positions 28 to 507 of the family's 1533-position model. The record is from RNAcentral.